GCAAGUCGAGCGCAGUCGUUCGGGACCGAGCGGCGGACGGGUUAGUAACGCGUGGGAACGUACCCUUCUCUACGGAAUAGCCAUUGGAAACGAUGAGUAAUACCGUAUACGCCCGUUGGGGGAAAGAUUUAUCGGAGAAGGAUCGGCCCGCGUUAGAUUAGAUAGUUGGUGGGGUAAUGGCCUACCAAGUCGACGAUCUAUAGCUGGUUUGAGAGGAUGAUC
Molecule: ribosomal RNA, 222 nt
Filed under: uncultured bacterium
Lineage: Bacteria
Description: partial 16S ribosomal RNA
Rfam family: Bacterial small subunit ribosomal RNA
Source: RNAcentral